UACGUAGGGGGCAAGCGUUGUCCGGAAUCAUUGGGCGUAAAGAGCGUGUAGGCGGCUCGGUAAGUCCGCUGUGAAAGUCCAGGGCUCAACCCUGGAAUGCCGGUGGAAACUGUCGAGCUAGAGUCCGGAAGAGGCGAGUGGAAUUCCUGGUGUAGCGGUGAAAUGCGCAGAUAUCAGGAAGAACACCCGUGGCUAAGGCGGCUCUCUAGUACGGUACUGACGCUGAGACGCGAAAGCGUGGGGAGCGAACAGG
This 253-nucleotide ribosomal RNA is filed under the name uncultured bacterium. RNAcentral describes it as "partial 16S ribosomal RNA". It matches the Rfam family "Bacterial small subunit ribosomal RNA", at positions 524 to 776 of the family's 1533-position model. The record is from RNAcentral.